AUGACCAAUUUUAUUUUUUUUUUUCAGGGAGCUACCUCAUUCAAGCCUGAAGAGAGAACCGUCAAACUGCAAGACUUGAAUUUAGAGCCAUUUCCCUUCCAACCAGAGCCAGCGAAACCUGCUAGAAAACAAAUCGUGCCUCCACCAGCCAGUCCAUCCAAAUUUAUCAAAGGAGAUUUCCGCCAAAGUGAACACGGAACAGACUAUGAAUCCGUGCGGAUACCCCCGAUUUGGAAGCCUCAUGACUCAGACUCUGAAGACAUUUCAUACCGACCUGUUCGCCCAAACUUAACACCAGUUUCAAGGCGGAAAAAGUAUGAAAAUAAUGUCCUUCCUCCGUUUAAUUUUGAAGAAUCUCCACGAUCCAAGUUUGAACCUGAAAAAUCAACAACCCCUGUUAAACUAAAAGAAAUCUUGUCGCCAACAAAGAUGCAGAAGUCUCUUCCUCAAUCUCCUCCCAGCAAUUCAUAUCAGACUUUUGCCUCUCAGCCAACGUAUCAAAGUCAGUCUCACCAAGCGCAGUCAACAUAUCAAAAUCAGUCUCACCAAGCGCAGUCAACGUAUCAGCAAACGCAUCAAAAUCAUCAAAACCACUCGUAUCAAACGCAAGCAUUUUCACAAACACAGUCUAGACCUAAUUCAUUACUGAUGGUGAAGCCCAAGUCUCCAACCAAAACCACACCAACCUAUAUCGGAAGUUCAAAACUUACACCCGCAGAAUCAUCAACAGUAAGUUAUACUGAAUCAACAGAAACUAGCAAGCACAUAGUGAAUGUAGAAAAAACAACAAAAACCUAUAGUUAUGACCAUGGAAGUGAGUCGCGAUCUCAGAGCGCUGUUACUCAGCAUAGCGUACCUUUUGAUUCAAAUAGCUACAUGGCUGAACAAAAGCGUUUGGAGCGGGUAGAGCAGAUGAGAAAACGGUUUGAAAGUAGCAACGAUAUUACCUUGCAGCCAGGAGAGCCACCAGAAUUUGUUCUAGCUGGAUCACCAACCACCAAUUCUGUGUCAAAUGAAGUAAACAAUCAAAUGCAAAACUUGAACAACAGAUUCAAGUCAAAAGUUCAAAGAUUUACUGGUGAUAUCAUAGCGGAUGUGAAUAGAAAAGAUUCAGAUAGUCAAGCACUGCAACUACGAACGAAUGAUGUUCAAAGUUACAAACAAGAAUCCAGGAAUAUCGAACAUGGAUCAAAACAGAUUGAUCCAUCCACUGGGUUAGUCUAUUUCAAGUACGAUUUUGGAUACGAAUUCGGAGUUGUCACUCCUAACGAUAACUCAGCAGCAACGAAUCGGUCGAAACCGAAACGACAAAAGUCCGUCACAUGGGAUCCGAUGUCGGAAAGUGAGUUCUCUGGAAAUGAGGCCAGGAAGCGCUCCUGCCUCAAGCCUUCCACAUCGGCCAUCAUCCCGUAUUCUUCUCCAAGCUCACCAGUUUCUCCUCUUUCCUCUCUUUCACCCAACCUCAACCAGCGCCGACACUCAGCAGGUUAUUAG
This 1494-nucleotide long non-coding RNA is filed under the name Bemisia tabaci. RNAcentral describes it as "lncRNA ENSSSA1NGG002865". Lineage: Eukaryota; Metazoa; Arthropoda; Insecta; Hemiptera; Aleyrodidae. The record is from RNAcentral.